Molecule: long non-coding RNA, 2088 nt
Organism: Brassica napus (rape)
Lineage: Eukaryota; Viridiplantae; Streptophyta; Magnoliopsida; Brassicales; Brassicaceae
Exons: 3
Source: RefSeq, a predicted model, not a curated record
AUUUUUAUUCACAUGAUUAAGUGAUAGAAAAGAAACACUACCAAGUCAAACUCUUUAGGAGAACUAGAAAUGAUAACAUAUCUUAUUUUAGAUCAGAUACUCGACUAAGACAAAGGAAGGAAUAGUUUUUUUUUUAAUAUUUGUAAAAGAAAACCUUUUGAUUAAAUGAAAAUUCAAAGAUGCUUUGUAUAUAAGACUUUUUAUGUUAAUAUUUCAAAUUUUAUAAGUUUGCUGAAACAUCAAAUGUAAGGAUCGAUAACUUCUUUUUGUUCGUUUCUUUCUUGUAAUGAAGAGAUCGAUAAUUUUGAUAUGAAGUACAUUUGUGAGUGAACCCGGACGAGCUAGCUCAACUGGUAACACUUUAGACUCCAGUCUGAGAGGUCGCGAGUUCGAGUCUCGGGCGGAGAGGAGUGUCCAGGGUCGUAAUGGUACAGACACAGGCUGGCUCCGGGUCUAGGAGGGGAUUAGGGCCGAAGGCCCGAACCCCGCCUGGUUAAACAAAAAAAAAAGUACAUUCGUGAGUGAGUACAUAUUUCAAAUAUUUAGAUUAUUAUAUUUUCAUAAAUAACAUACUAUCAGAUAUUUAGAUUAUUAUUUCUAAACAUUUAGAUAGCUAUCUAUCUAUCUAUUAUUAUAAAGAAGAAUUUCUCUUCUUCUUCCUUCUGUCAUGUCAUCAAUUCAUUGAACUUGAAUGCACCACAUGUCCUGCUUCACCGAUCCGCUCUGUUGUGUACAUUGUUUGGACUUUUCUUUUAUUAAUACAUAAAACUUUAAUACUAUUUUCAAAUUAGGCCCACGACUUAUUAGGUAUCUUCGUUGUCGAUGUCUAUUCUACGCCUCUGUAACCGUUUCAGUUUCAUCAAACAUUGUUUUUUUUCGCCAGAACUUUGUAACUGAAGAAGUUGAUUUCAGCCUUCACUUCCAUCAAUUAAUUAUUAGAGAUUAACGACGGAAUUCAUUGACAUCAAACCAUGAAUUCUUCAUCCUUUUAGCUUCCCUCAAGUCUUGACUAUUUUCAUACACUAUUUAUAUGGAGCUGAAGAGGACGGCUAUGUGGAUCAAAUCGUCACUGUCUUCUAUUAUACCUAAGAACCUGCAAGCAGGUUACAAGAAUCCUCAACUGCUUCUUUCUGAGUUGGCUGGUCGGUACAAGGAAACCGGACCCGUCUCCUCCUCAGUUCUUGGGAAGCAAUGAAUGUGGGGGAAAGCUUACGGGGAUUGAUAUAUUUUGGUUGAUAAGAAGUCUACUCUGAUUCAGGGAUCUAUGAGCUGAGUUGAUUUGAUUUGACAAGGAGUAAUCAGUACUUUAAGCUCCCCACAUCACUUUCUCUAUUAGAUUCAAGCAACAUUCCACCAUGAUCUAUAUUGCAGAAACCGUUAAUCCAUUACCAACGGAGGUCUUCAUGUUCCGCGAUUAGGAUGAGAUGGUGGUACUAGCGAACACAGACACAUACUUACCAGGUCAGGUUGUGAACUUUACCUCGAUAUUGCUUGGGUUAAAUGCAUUGGUUUGAUGAUGGAAUGUUUUACUUACACAUGGUUUCACCCCAUAUUGAUCGGAUUAAAUGGAUUGGUUUGACGAUGCAAAUGUUUUACUUAUUCCUGGUUUCAUAUUAGAUAUUGUUGGUGAAUUUUGCUAUAAACAGUGGAUUUCAUGAUUUUUUUAUGAUUUCUAAAAUAAUAACAUUGAACCAAUCUUCAGGGACCCGACUGUUUUUGUAAGUGUGUUGACAGGAUCGAAAUUCGCAACUGUACUUCACGAGAAAUUGGUGGCCUCAGGUGUUGAGCCCAAGGUGGUCGUCGCUACCAACGUGAAUCCUAAGCUGGUUGGAGGUUGUGUCUUCCUAGACGCUACAUUAGGCACAUAUUUCUACUUCGACACAGAGAGUGCGCUGGCCAGAACGUUUUUGAAGCGUAAAAUCUAAACUCUCCAACUUUAUCUUUUAACCAAAAUCCUUUCUCCUGCUUAAAUUUUUUUGAUUGAAACAAGAAAUUUUCCCAAGAUGUCUCAUCUUUCUCAAGUUCAAAGGUGUAAUAAUUUAAAGUUGCUGGCCAUACUGUUAUUGAAGUUGUUUUCUUGGUUUUAUA